GCCGCUGUAGCUCAGCCUGGUUAGAGCGCUAGACUCAUAAUCUAGAGGUCGCGGGCUCAAAUAUCCCAGAGGAUGCCAAAAUCCUCAGGUUGAGUGUCCCGUCAGCGGCA
This 110-nucleotide transfer RNA is filed under the name Nanobdellota archaeon. Its description in RNAcentral is "tRNA-Met". It matches the Rfam family "tRNA". Rfam says of the family: Transfer RNA (tRNA) molecules are approximately 80 nucleotides in length. Their secondary structure includes four short double-helical elements and three loops (D, anti-codon, and T loops). The record is from RNAcentral. Lineage: Archaea; Nanobdellati; Nanobdellota.